GGAGAAGGAAUUGAAGAGAUCAAAGUCAGAGGUUGGAAGCGCAAUGAAGGCUUGUGGUCAGAUUUUGCAAAAGCUGAUGAAAACCAAAAUAGGUUGGAUUUUUAGCUCUCCGGUCGACCCGGUGGCUUUGAAUCUUCAUGAUUACUUUGAUAUAAUUAAGCAUCCUAUGGAUCUGGGUACUGUGAAGUCAAAACUUGCUAAGAAUGCUUACUCUACACCGGCGGAAUUUGCUGAUGAUGUUAAGUUAACGUUCAAAAAUGCAUUGACAUACAAUCCCAAGGGCCAUGAUGUUAACACCGCGGCGAUGCAGCUUCUUGAAAAAUUUGAGGAGCUUUAUCGACCAAUACAAGAAAAAUUUGAUGAAAAAAGUUUUGAUGAUGAAUUACAGGCUAGCUCGUGGAACCAUGUUGAACCGGAGAGGGAAAGGGAGAGGGUCAAGAAGAAAGAUAAUCCGAUUCCAAUCCCUCCACCGGUAGCAAAACGCCAAGAGCUACUGCCUGAGCCUGCUAGUACUUCUAACCAGCCAAGCACUUCAAAUCCUCCUCCAUUAGCGCAAUCACCAGUUCGCACACCCUCUCCAACACGAGCACUCCCAGUGAAGCCCUUGAAGCAACCCAAGCCAAAGGCCAGGGAUCCAAAUAAGAGGGAAAUGAAUGUCGAAGAAAAGCACAAGUUGGGACUUGGGCUGCAGAUUUUUGCCACCAGAGAAGAUGGAACAAGUAGUACAGAUCAUAAGGAAGAGAAAUGGGCAUCUGGAGCAAGAUGGGGAUGAGAUUGAGCUUGAUAUGGAGGCUGUUGACACGGAGACUCUCUGGGAACUCGAUCGAUUGGUUACCAAUUGGAAAAAGAUGGUGAGCAAGAUUAAGCGGCAGGCGCUAAUGGAUAAUAAUAAUGUGCCUUCAAACAAAGGCAAUGGGGUAAAAACCUUAUUGUCCAUUUUUUAUUUCUGUUGAGUGAUGUUACUGUCUAAUGUAGCAUUGUUGGCAGUGUUUUGUCACAUUCUAAUUUAUUGUGUGCAUUUACAGGAAUUGCCUGAUAGGGAGAAGGUUGAUGCAACCCCUCCUUCUGAGGGGAAGAAACAGAAGAAGAUAGAUACUGUUGAUGAGGAUGUUGACAUUGGCGAUGAUAUGCCGGCAAAUGAUUUUCCACCUGUGGAGAUUGAGAAAGAUAAAGAUAUGGGUGGUACUGGUGGCCGUGCCAGUAGUAGUUCCAGUGGUUCCAGCAGUUCUGGGAGUGGUGAUUCCUCGUCGAGUGGUAUAACCUCUUUCCUCUAAAUGCUGUGGUUUGUACUCUGAAAUCAUCAUGGGUAGAAACAUCAAUUUUGAUCCUCGUGCAGAUUCGGAUUCAGGGAGUUCUUCAGGAAGUGAUUCUGAAGCUGGCAAUGGUCAUUUGUAGCAGGGCAGGGCUUUUGGUACUAAUGAUCACGAAGACCAACGCCGGUUAGCGGAUCAAGAAAUGUUUGCCUCGUUGCUAUAGUGCUUGCAUGUGUCGGCUAGGUAUGUCAAUUUGAUUGGUUGAUACAUGUACAUUUCUUAUUCUGCUAUGGCUUAAAUGUUCUGAAGAUAGCAUAGCCGGCCAAAUUUAUCAUGAUUGUCUUUAAACUUUUUGUAACAGGGGUUGUAGACAUUGAUUGUUGGUUUCAUCGUGGGAAUGGCUAAUCGGAUUGGGACUAAGAGCACCUGAUCCAUGAUUUGCGUUGUGACUUUGGAGUGUAUAAAGGGUUUGGACAAUGAUCAAAAGCAGUAGUAGGACCAGAAAGUAGCAAGUAAUCUGUGGUAAAAAUUUCUCUAGUAGGAUAGAUGCUUAAGAAAGUUUAGGAAGAUAAUCAAUAGAUGUAGUACUUUUUUGUGAUUACACCUUGUACACAUUUUACAGUAAGUAGAUAAAUCACUCUCAAAUUUUGGAGAAAGAAUUUUUGUGGAUCUUUGUUGUGAUUGUUAAUUUGAUGAAGUUUACCUUCUCCAUGUUGUUUGUAUCAGGAAGGAUGACCUUGUUCAAAUAAGGAAAGUGGAAAAAAGAAAAAUAAUAGUAUCUUCUUUAAAGAAUCAUUAACAAAACGAAAAUGUGAUUUGGUUAAUCUAGUGUGAUUCUCUCGGAAAGAUAAAAUUAUCCCAUCAAAAAGCCCAUAUAUACGUUCAUGAAAUGAGUAAAACUAAAUCUUAUCUCAUCUAAAAAUGAAUGAGUGAGGUGUUAUUGUUGCAAAGAUUAGGAACGAGUGGUAUAUUACCCAAGUGAACAAGAUUUUUUUAACAGAUAACUACGUGAGCUAACAGGAUCUUAGCAUUAUAUUUCAUUAAGGAACACCGAAGAAAUCUGUGCCGGAUAAACUUUAAGACAGACUUAUCCUGAAAAAUAACAAGGUCAAAGUAGAAGAAGCUUAGCCUGUGUAAAUUUUAGUGCUUCAUAGAUCCCAUAUUAAGUGUGACUUAUAAGUGAUUAGAUAUUUUCGAAUGGAUUGAGAAAAAAUAAACAAGAGACUGACAAUUUUACAAAAUUAUCUAUUCAUUUUCUAGCCACCUUUUUCAAACAUGAUUAGAAGACAGUCUAUUUAUCCAGUUUGAUUUUAAGAAUCUCUUUUAAUGAUCCUAGUCUUCCCUAUUCUUUGUUGCGAUUUAAAUAAUUUCCAUCACUAUAUGAGUGAUUCAGAGCUCCUCCAAAGUCUGACUUUGCACUUGUACAAGUUUCCAAAAUAAAGCCAAAGAUAUUAAUGCCCAAUCUUUGCUUGUGCUAUUUAAUUUGGGAAAGGAGAGUUCUUUCUCACCAUGAGAAAGUUGAUCAUGUCCAUUAGAUUAAAUGAGAAACAUAUUCCUAUCAUACUCUCUCAACCACUAGAUUAUUUUUUUAUACUAUCUUUCAUACUCUCUUUCAUGUCCCCACACUCCCAUACCACCACCACUAAAUCAUAAAUUCAACAACCACUUUGACCACCAUGGUUGCUGCCGGAAAGAACUUUCCUUUUCCAAAUUAAAUGGCACCAUCAUUUUAAUCAAAACUCAAGGGUACCUGCAAAUUUUCCUAUAAAGAAUCUAAAUUAACCUAACGAUGCAAUAUUAUAUUUUUUUAGAGGGAUGCAAUAUUAUUUUAUUCAUAGUUUAUUUUAGAGGGAUGCAUAAUUAUCUUGUUGUUCGAAUUCCAACCACCAUCGCAUAAACUAUACCUGUUUGUGAUUGUUGUUUUUUUUUUUAUCCAAUUAAUCCGUUUCUCUCUCCAGGUAAAAUGAUUGUAUUAUAUAAUUUUGAAUUAUAUUAUUUUUCUUCUUGUUUUUUUUUUAUAAAAAAAACAAAAUGGGUUCCUGGAAGUAUAAAAAAGAAAAGAAAAGAAAAAAUGUUAAAAAAAGUAAAGGUUUAAAUGCAUUUUUUUGUCUUUCUAUUUAAAAAAGAAAAUGAUGUUUUGGUCUUCCUAUUUUAAAAAUCGUACGCUAACAAGUUUUCCGGCAGCAACCAUGGUGGUGUGUGGUGGUGCAGUGGUGGUCAAAGUGGUUGUUGAAUUUGUGAUUUAGUUGUGGUGGUAUGGUGUGUGGGGACAUGAAAGAGAGAGUGUAAAAGAUAGUAUAAAAAAAUAAUCUAGUGGUUGAGAGAGUAUGAUAGGAAUAUGUUCCUCAUUUAAUCUAAUGGAUAUGAUCAACUUUCCCAUGGUGGGAAAGAACUCUCCUUUCCCAAAUUAAAUGUCACCAUCUUGGUGUUUGCUAAUCUGAAAUUUCUUUCAACAUAGAUAGAUUAAAUCAUUCAAGAGUUACUAGUACUUUGCUUUGAAUAAUAUUCCUUUUUAAGCAUAACCCGUGUGCUAAACUGCUCACAAAUUUAUGAGAGGUUCAGCACAAGCCUGAGACAAAUUUCAGAGCACCAAAAGAAGCUAUUUGCCCUUUCUCUAUGAUAGUCUCAAAUAUUCGUUCGGCAUAGAUAAAUUCAAUCAUUCAAGAGUUGAUAGUUGGACUCCAUCAUCACUUGAAUAAUACUUGGCUUUUAAAAAUAUUCGUUUCUGAAGCAGUCAUGUGCUAAGCUGCUCAUCACAAGUUGUGAGGUGAGGUUCACCAAAAGCCUUGAGAGCACAAAAGAAAUAUUCGCCCUUUUUUAUGUAUAACAUGAGCAAUUGGAGCAAUGAAGUUGGCCAAAUGAAUAAAAGACCAUCAAAGACGUAUCUAAAAAUUUUAAUAAGUCGGAUCAAAGUCGGAUAUAAAAAAUGUAAACAAUUAAAAAUUCAUAUAGUUUAUUGAUCGUACCUGAUCAGGAGGCGAAUGUCGAUGUGGUGCUAGAUGGUGGUUGCAAGCGGUUGUUUCAACUGAAACGGCGGGGAAGUAUAGCUACAGACGCUCAAGUCAAUAUUGAGAAAGGAUCUAACCUUGGAGACUGCUGAGAGUCUCCCUUGUAUAGUGUGGAGGUGCAAGUGUCGUUGUAAGGUACGUGUGGAGUUCGGCAGUUAAGGAUUUAGAAGAAUCGUAACCGUUGAGAGAGAGCUUCGCAGACACAUGUGAGAGACUAAGUGGCUCAAAUGCUGAUGAAUUUGGGUCUUUUUUGGAUUAUGUUUAUCAAUGUAAUAAUUUUAACGUUACUUCUGUUGUAGUGUUAUGAAAGGAUUAUGUUGAAAUAAUAACAUCAUAUUAAUAGGGUCACAUACUCACAUUGCAUCAAUAUCUAAGUAUUGGUAAAAAAUACAAUAACCAAGUGAGAUCAAUUGACCACACUACCCCACGUAAGGCCAUUUUAAUAACUCAUCAAAGUGUCAUCGACCAACCUUCACAUAUUUAACAAGUAAAUCAACAGUAAUACUCCCUCCGAUUUACAAGAAACAAUUGACUUUAUAGAUUUAUUGAAUAAUUGAUGUAUUUUGUCUAUAUUCUAGACCAAGUACAUAAAUUAUUCAAUUAACUUAAAAAAUUAAUUGUUUAUUCUAAAUAGACCAGAGGAAGUAUAACCAACAACAAAAAAAAAAUAGCACUAAUGUUGAUGCAUUUUAAGAGAAACGGCUCAAACAUAAUACAAAAUCAUUUCUUCAAAUCCGUCAAAUGAUCAAUACUCAUAUCUCUUUUGUCCCCAUGUUAUUUGAAAUCAACAUGCAAUUUUUGUAAGAUAUGAUUGGUGAAUCAGUCUAUAUUGUUUAGAUAAUUAUUUUGAGUUAGUUAGUCAAAUGACUAGUCGAAUAAGUCGGAGGAAUUAGUUUGUUGAGAUAGCUGGUUGAGUUGCUUACUAUAUAAGUAGUUCUAUCAUGAUUCAUUAUGUAACUCGUUUUAUUUCGUGUUAAUACGAUUUUAAUUUUUCUCAUUAAUCUAAUUCAGCACAACCAUUCUCUCAAUCCUUUCCUUUAUAUGGGAACUGCAGUUGUUCCAACUUCCAACAGAUUGGUAUAACAUAUUCCAGUUCGAUUAAUCCAUUAAUCUAAAAGAUCAAGGGAAAGUUCAAACGCAACCUCAAAUAAAUUCUUUGCAUAUGCUCGUGUUCAAAGGAGACAAUUAUGAUUAGUGGUGUGCCUAAAUGAAAGUGAAUGAUGGUUGCAAACUACGGCGCAAAAACCUGUGCAUCGUGAGUUCAAGAAAAGAUGCAUAUGGAUUGUUAUUGAUCCAUUAGUGUGAGGGUUCAAACAUCUUCAAGAAGAUAAUUGAUGAAGAAACGCCAAAGGGAGUGUGGCAAAGACUCAAGAAGGUGUAUGGUGGCGAUGUCAAGCUCAAGAAAGUGAAGCUCCAAGCCUUGUGCCAUCACCAUGAGAUGCUCUGAAUGACUAAGCAAAGUCAAUUGCAGAGUUCUGAUCCAAUGAAGUUUAUUUGUCUUUGAAAUUUCCAAAAUCUUUUUGCUUAUCAUUCUAAUUUUUUUUUUUUUGAAAGAAAAUCAUUUAUGCAAUUAAAGAAUCUCAAAACCCUUACUUUAAAUUGAAGAAUUUACUAAACGGUUAAAAUAUACGCGAGUCCACGCGGAUAGGAUAAAAACAAUAAUUACGUUAUAUGUUAGGCAAAAUUACAUUUUUAGUUCCUUAAUUUAAUUUCAGAUAACAGUUUGGUCCUUUAUCUUUUUUUCAUUUCAAUUUGGUCCUUUUUGUCUAUUUUCAUAUGAAAUUUUAAGCUUAAAAUUCAUGAUUUUAUUUUCUUAUGGUCUUUCAGUCUUCAAAUCUAUGAUCCUUGCUUAUGUUUGCAUAAAAAUAUUAAAUUUGAAGCUUGGAAAUGUAUAUGAAAAUGAACAAAAAUGACCAAAUUGAAAUAAAAAAAAGAUAAAUGACCAAACAUUUAUCUGAAAUUAAGUUAAGGAACUAAAAAUAUAAUUUUGCCUAUAUGUUAUUAUACUUUUUGGUCUCUGAAUUUGUUUUUUUUUUUUAACCUGUAACAUUUGAUUUUUUAGGCCUAAUUACACUAAUUCUUAACUAGAAUCCUUAACAAUGAAUAAGAAAGUGAAUUUUCAUCUGCAAUUUUUUUUUUUUAAGGAACUCAUCUGCAAUUUAUGAUUUCUCAUUGUUAUUUUGCUCAAAAUUUUGAAUCAUUGUCCGUUAUUUUGUUUGUACACGCUUAACCUAACAAUUCACUGCUCACAAUUUCAUCGUCAAUUUAUCAUCCUACGUUUAUAUUUUUUUGUUUAAUAUUUUCUUUCUCUACCAUUUAAAAAUCAUUUUAAUCCUGCCAUUCUCUAGAAAGCUUCAAAGUCAUCAUAUUUCUUAUAUACAUCCUUAAAGUAUAUCUUUCAAUUUCUUAUAUAUGUUACACAUUUAAAAUUUUAUUUUUCUUUACUAAAUUAUACUCAUAAGUUAGUUCUUGAUUUUAUCCCGAUUCAAAGUUCAUGAAUACAUUGCCGGGUCGGAUGCAUCCUAAAUCUUUUUCGUAGAGUACAUCACUGUCCAAAUUUACUUUGGAUCUGUUUGGCAAAGUCAUGAAGCUAACUUAUAGUUUAUAGCAGAUAGUUUAUAAGUUCGUCUGACAAAAAAAAACCCCAUUUGAUAACGGUAUUUACAUAACAAGCUUAUAUCUUAUUUCAAAAGUUUAUAAUUUAUUUUCAAUACGCUAUUUCAAGUAGCGUAUGAACUUAUUUAUAACUUGUCAUCUUUUCUCUAAUUUAUACCCUUAUUAUUAUAUUUGAAAUUCAAUUUCACCCAUUGUAAUUUAUUACUCCAAUGAUUAAAAACAACACAUUAAUUACUGUUUUAUAUAUACCAUGCCUUAAAAAAAUGACUCGUUAACCUUUGCAUUCCAUUUUAUUUUAAUUUUAUAAUUUAUCUAUACAUGUAUAGAGUAUAACCUUUUGUCAAAAAAAGUAUAGGAUAUAACAUUUGUGUUUUUUUUAUUUAAUGAAAAUAUACCUUUCUGGUUUUUAACUAUGUACCUUUUAAAAAAAAAAAAUUUACGUACUUUUAAUAAUGCAUAUAAUAGUUACUAAAAAAUUGUUUAAGAAGACAUUAUUCAAUUCCAUCAAAAAAAGGAAAACAUGGUUCAAUGUAACUAUCCAUUAUUGUGUGUCAAUUUCGAUGGGAUAGUUUAAAUUCUUAAAAACAAUAACAAUUAUUGUUAAUAAUAAGUUAAUAACAAUAAUAAUAGAAAGAAAUAUAAACAUUUAAAUGAAAAUAAAUAGAAAUAAAAUUAUCGAUGGGAGUAAUACAUUUUGGUAACCGCGUUCAAUUUUUUUAAUGAAAACUUUUCAUUUAAUUAUUUUAUAAAAUAUAAACACUUAAAUGAAAAUAAAUAGAAAUAAAAAUUUAACCUUAAAAAAAAGAAUUUUUUUUUUAGUGAAUAAAAUUUAAUUUAUAAUAUAAAAGAUGUAUUAUACAUUAAGAAUAUCAUUUUUUUGUCAUUUUACAUUUAUCAACCAAUUAAACCGUUACUUUUACCAAACAGUUUUCAGUCAUCAAUUAUUAAUUAUAACCUAUAAACUAUCACCCAUCAUUCAACGACUAGCAUAUCAGCUACACCUUUCGGUCACUAAUAUAAGCUAAAAGUUUAAUUUUUAGAUUCAUUCAAUAAAUGACGUAUGAAGUCUAUAAUAAAGAUUACAUACGUCAUUUAAUGAAUAAAUUUAAAAAGAGUAUUGAUAUUUGAGUAAAUAGACAAUUACCCCCCUGAAAUUGUAAGUUUCGUCAAUUACCCCACUGAAAUUAACAAAACUUCAAUUACCCCCCUGAAAUUGCACAACGUUAAUCAAUUUACCCCCUCCGUCAAGUUUUUCUGUUAGUCAACAUAACGUUUUGCAAAUACCCCCUGAAGUUUUCACUUAUGUGCAAAAUGCCCCCGAACUUUAAAAUUUAUAUAUUUUUUCUUAUCAUUGACUCAAAUGAUAUUAAAGACAAACAAUUAACAAUUAGCUUUAUGUAUCCUCUUAAGUUCUUGGAAUACAAUUAUUGAAUUUUAUCAAUGUCAUGUGUAUCAUCAUUGUAUUUUCACCUUUGACUUAUUGACCUUUCUUUACAAGUUGAUUAUGAUGCCAUUCUCCUCUGUUCAUUUGUUUAUUUCCAUUUGUGUUUGUUUACAAUUUCCAUUCAUGAAGCUCAUGAACAUUGUUUGGAUUGGAUAGGGUUUUUGUGUUCGUUUUAUGCAUAUAGAUAUAGAUUGUGUUUUUGGAGCAUUUGAGAUCAAUAGUAAACAGCUACUCAUCAUACUAUACAACAAAAAUGGUUAAUGAGUAGUUAAAAAAUUAACAAGAAUUGCUAUCAAAAAAGAAAGAAAACUACAAAUAAAUAGAUUAAACAAAUAAAUUUCAAUUAUGGUGCAAAAUAAUGUGAUGGGAAUUGACCAAACAUAAAGCUAAAUGUUAAUUGUUUGUCUUUAAUAUCUUUUGAGUCAAAUACAAGAGAAAUAAAAAUAAAAAAAAUUCAAGUUCAAGGGGCAUUUUGCAUAUAAAUGCAAAACUUCAGGGGGUAUUUGCAAAACGUCAUGUUGACUAACAGAAAAUUUUGACGGAGGAGGCAAAUUGAUUAACGUCAUGCAAUUUGAGGGGGGUAAUUGAAGUUGUCUUAAUUUCAAGGGGGUAAUUGACGAAACUCACAAUUUCAGGGGGUAAUUGCCUAUUUACUCAUUGAUAUUUGAACAAAUCGUUUGGUAUAACCUUAUUGUUAUCUCUUUUCAUUGGUAAAAAAUAAUAGAAAGAGAAAAAAGGAAGAGGGAGAAUAAGAAGAUAAUGCGAAUAUAAGAGAGAAAGUUGUACAAAAAUAGUUGUACAAAUAUCAUUUCUCAUUUAAAAAUAAGUUCAUACUCCCUCCGUCCCAAAUUGUAUGACGUUUUGGGCAUUUCACGCAUAUUAAGAAAUGUAAUUAAUAUUGUGUGGGAAAGAAAUAUUAUGAGUUGUUUUACAAAAUUAUCCUCAAUAAAUGAUAUGAGAAAGAUAAAUGAAGGAACUGAAAGAAGAGAGAGUAAUAAAUAGUUAAGGAUAUAAUAAGAAAAGUAACAUUAAUUUUUCAUUGGUAUUGUAAAACGACGUAUAAUUUGAAACAAAUAUUUUUUCUGACAUACAAUUUGGGACGGAGUGAGUAUUAGAGAGCAGAUGUAUCUAUUAUUUUUAACAAAAACAAAAAAAAACCUCCAACUCAAGCCCAAAAUCAUAGAGAACUUCCAGCGUCACUAUUUCUUGAUCAACGGCAAAAGCUAACCCACGUGGAACAAAUUCACAAUCUUAACCGUUAACGCCAGAUCUCUCGGUCAGUAUAACGGGCAAUCCCAAAAAUGAUUACAACCCGUUGGAUGAACGAAUCAAGGGCAGAAGAAAUUGACCAAAACAUCUCGGGCAGAUCUCAUCUCCUUUAAGAAGAGGCAUAGGCUCAUCCGUUUUCUCACUCAGAUUGAAAUUUCCAAUUCCAAACCCUUACACUCUCUUUUCCUCUCUAGAGCUACCAAUAGUAUCUCCGACGGAAGCGCGUGUGUUUUCCAAACGGCGCGUAGAGAUUCCACCUUCGCGUGAUCGUUGGUUUAUUCAAUUCAUCUCUUGUACGAUCCACAUUGAGAAUUUCAUGCCGGAGAUACGCCGGAGUCUCACCGGCCAGCCGUGAUUUCGUGAUUUUAUGGCAUCGGCUUUAUUAGCCAACCGUAACGAACCAAAUUGGCUGCAACACAGAGGCGGUGGAGCUGAAUUCAUGGGUAAAGCACCUAACCCUAACCCUAAAUUUAGUAACAAAAAGAGAACUCAAUCCCCAUCAGAUGACGCUUCCUCAAUCAAUCGACGAUCCAACGAUAAUCAUUCACAAUACGUUACUUUCAACAUCGAAUCGUACUCAAAGACGGAGCUACAUGACCUCAAAAAUCGACUCGUAUCAGAACUCGACCAAAUUCGUCAGCUUAAGACUCGAAUUGAAUCAGGUGAGUUUAAACCCAGGCUAAACCACAACGGUGGUGGUCCCAAUAAGAAAUCGGGGAGCAAAAAGUUUUCCGGCAACAAACGACCUUUUCCGGCGGAGAAGGAAUUGAAGAAAUCAAAGUCAGAGAUUGGGGAUGCGAUGAAGGCUUGUGGUCAGAUUUUGACGAAGCUGAUGAAAAACAAAAGUGGUUGGAUUUUUAACACUUGGAUCUUUAACACUCCUGUAAAUGCAACGGCUUUGAAUCUUCAUGAUUACUUUGAUAUAAUUAAGCAUCCUAUGGAUCUGGGUACUGUGAAGUCAAAACUUGCUAAGAAUGCUUACUCUACACCGGCGGAAUUUGCUGAUGAUGUAAAGUUAACGUUCAAAAAUGCAUUGACAUACAAUCCCAAGGGCCAUGAUGUUAACACCGCGGCGAUGCAGCUUCUUGAAAAAUUUGAGGAGCUUUAUCGACCAAUACAAGAAAAAUUUGAUGAAAAAAGUUUUGAUGAUGAAUU
This 10745-nucleotide long non-coding RNA is filed under the name Medicago truncatula (barrel medic). Its description in RNAcentral is "long non-coding RNA (MTRU_LNC002220)". Lineage: Eukaryota; Viridiplantae; Streptophyta; Magnoliopsida; Fabales; Fabaceae. The record is from RNAcentral.